RNAcentral lists this ribosomal RNA (498 nucleotides) under uncultured bacterium. RNAcentral describes it as "partial 16S ribosomal RNA". It matches the Rfam family "Bacterial small subunit ribosomal RNA", at positions 29 to 523 of the family's 1533-position model. The record is from RNAcentral.
AUUGAACGCUGGCGGCAUGCCUUACACAUGCAAGUCGAACGGUAACGCGGGGCAACCUGGCGACGAGUGGCGAACGGGUGAGUAAUGCAUCGGAACGUGCCCGGUAGUGGGGGAUAACUGCUCGAAAGAGCAGCUAAUACCGCAUACGACCUGAGGGUGAAAGGGGGGGAUCGCAAGACCUCUCGCUAUCGGAGCGGCCGAUGUCGGAUUAGCUAGUUGGUGGGGUAAAAGCCCACCAAGGCGACGAUCCGUAGCUGGUCUGAGAGGCCGACCAGCCACACUGGGGCGGAGACACGGCCCAGACUCCUACGGGAGGCAGCAGUGGGGAAUUUUGGACAAUGGACGCAAGGCUGAUCCAGCCAUGCCGCGUGCGGGAAGAAGGCCUUCGGGUUGUAAACCGCUUUUGUCAGGGAAGAAAUCUUCUGAGUUAAUACCUCGGGAGGAUGACGGUACCUGAAGAAUAAGCACCGGCUAACUACGUGCCAGCCGCCGCCGUAA